RNAcentral lists this unclassified non-coding RNA (276 nucleotides) under uncultured fungus. RNAcentral describes it as "sequence contains ITS2". The stretch from base 1 to 52 matches the Rfam family "5.8S ribosomal RNA", at positions 103 to 154 of the family's 154-position model. Lineage: Eukaryota; Fungi. The record is from RNAcentral.
AACGCAUCUUGCGCUCUUUGGUAUUCCAAAGGGCAUGCCUGUUUGAGUGUCAUUAAAUUCUCAAAGUAAAGUUCCUUUGUAAGGGGCUUUGCUUUGGAUCUGAAGAUUGCUGGCUAUGUGUUGGUUAGCUUCUUUGAAAUGCAUGAGUAGGAUCAUGACUUGGUCUUGGUGUGAUAAGUUAUCUACGCCUUGAAACAAUAUUUGAACCUGCUUAUAACAAAAACUUACUUUUUGACCUUUGACCUCAAAUCAGGUAAGACUACCCGCUGAACUUAA